Molecule: ribosomal RNA, 330 nt
Filed under: uncultured eukaryote
Lineage: Eukaryota
Description: partial 18S ribosomal RNA
Rfam family: Eukaryotic small subunit ribosomal RNA
Source: RNAcentral
CCCUUAGAUGUUCGGGGCCGCACGCGCGCUACACUGAAGGACUCAGCGUGUCUCUCCCCCUAUCCCGAAAGGGAUGGGCAACCCGUUGAACCUCCUUCGUGCUAGGGAUUGGGGUUUGCAAUUAUCCCCCAUGAACGAGGAAUUCCCAGUAAGCGCAAGUCAUCAGCUUGCGUUGAUUACGUCCCUGCCCUUUGUACACACCGCCCGUCGCUCCUACCGAUUGAAUGGUCCGGUGAAGCGUUCGGACCGUGGCCUUUGGACGGUUCGCCGUCUGUUGGCUGCGGGAAGUUCGUUAAACCUUAUCAUUUAGAGGAAGGAGAAGUCGUAACA